RNAcentral lists this ribosomal RNA (609 nucleotides) under Escherichia coli. RNAcentral describes it as "bacterial SSU rRNA". It matches the Rfam family "Bacterial small subunit ribosomal RNA", at positions 71 to 673 of the family's 1533-position model. Lineage: Bacteria; Pseudomonadati; Pseudomonadota; Gammaproteobacteria; Enterobacterales; Enterobacteriaceae. The record is from RNAcentral.
GGAAGCAGCUUGCUGCUUCGCUGACGAGUGGCGGACGGGUGAGUAAUGUCUGGGAAACUGCCUGAUGGAGGGGGAUAACUACUGGAAACGGUAGCUAAUACCGCAUAACGUCGCAAGACCAAAGAGGGGGACCUUCGGGCCUCUUGCCAUCGGAUGUGCCCAGAUGGGAUUAGCUAGUAGGUGGGGUAACGGCUCACCUAGGCGACGAUCCCUAGCUGGUCUGAGAGGAUGACCAGCCACACUGGAACUGAGACACGGUCCAGACUCCUACGGGAGGCAGCAGUGGGGAAUAUUGCACAAUGGGCGCAAGCCUGAUGCAGCCAUGCCGCGUGUAUGAAGAAGGCCUUCGGGUUGUAAAGUACUUUCAGCGGGGAGGAAGGGAGUAAAGUUAAUACCUUUGCUCAUUGACGUUACCCGCAGAAGAAGCACCGGCUAACUCCGUGCCAGCAGCCGCGGUAAUACGGAGGGUGCAAGCGUUAAUCGGAAUUACUGGGCGUAAAGCGCACGCAGGCGGUUUGUUAAGUCAGAUGUGAAAUCCCCGGGCUCAACCUGGGAACUGCAUCUGAUACUGGCAAGCUUGAGUCUCGUAGAGGGGGGUAGAACUCCAUG